RNAcentral lists this long non-coding RNA (1162 nucleotides) under Mytilus galloprovincialis (Mediterranean mussel). Lineage: Eukaryota; Metazoa; Mollusca; Bivalvia; Mytilida; Mytilidae. The record is from RNAcentral.
AAAUUAAGGCACAAAACUAUACAGUGGCAGAAUGUGGCCAUGAAAGGAAAAAAAGUAUGUUGUUCCCUCAAGAUACUUUGUCGUUCCCUCAAGAUGCUAUGUCGUUCCCUCAAGAUACUUUGUCGUUCCCUCAAGAUGCUUUGUGGUUCCCGAAAGAUUGUUACCUCGUUCCCUCCAGAUCCUAUGUCGUUCUCUCAAGAUGCUAUGUAGUUUCAACAAGAUUAUUAUCUCGUUUCCUCAAGAUACUUUGUCGUUCCCACAAGAUAGUUAUCUCGUUCCCUUAAGAUACUAUGUCGUUCCCUCAAGAUGAUGUGUCGCUCCCUCAAGAUAUUAUGUUUUACCCUCAAGAUGAUAUGUCGUUUAAACAAUAUAGUUACUUUAUUCCCUUAAGAUGCUAUGUGAUUCUAUAAGAUAGUUUUCUCUUCUACCAAAUUAAUAUGCCGAUUUCAUUAAGAUGCUUUGUCGUUCUCUAAAAAUGCUAUGUUGUUUCUACAAGAUUGUCUUGUUCCUUCAGGAUACUCUGUCGUUCCGACAAGAUAGUUAUCUCGUUCCCUUAAGAUACCAUGUCGUUUCCUCAAGAUGAUAUGUCGUUCCUUCGAGAUGCUAUGUACUUUUCACAAGGUAGUUGUCUCGUUUCCACAAGAUAGUUAGCUCGUUUCUCUCAAGAUGCUUUGUUAUGUCGUUUUCAAAAGAUAGUUAUCUCAUUCCUUCAAGAUAAUAUGUCGUUUCCUUAAGAUGUUAUGGUGUUCCCUUAAGAUGUUAUGGUGUUCCCUCAAGAAAGUUAUCACGUUCCACCAAGAUAAUAAUUGGUUCCCUCAACAUAGCUAUAAAAUUGUACUGAUAUAACAUCUUGUGGGAACGACAUUGUAUCUUGACAGAACGAGAUAAAAAUCUUGUGAGAACGACAUAGUAUCUUGACGGAACGAGAUAACCAUCUUGUUGGCACGACGUAGUUUCUUAAGGGGUCGACAUAGCAUCUUUGGGGAUCGACAUAUUAUCUUGAGGGGACAACAUAAUAUCUUGAGAGAACGACAUAGUAUCUUAAGGGAUCAAGAUAACUAUCUUGUAGGAACGACAUAGCAUCUUGAGAGAACGACAUAGGAUCUGUUGUAGACGAGGUAACAAUCUUUUGGGAACGACAUAGCAUCUUGAGGGAACGACA